This 254-nucleotide ribosomal RNA is filed under the name uncultured bacterium. RNAcentral describes it as "partial 16S ribosomal RNA". It matches the Rfam family "Bacterial small subunit ribosomal RNA", at positions 524 to 776 of the family's 1533-position model. The record is from RNAcentral.
UACGUAGGGUGCGAGCGUUGUCCGGAAUUAUUGGGCGUAAAGAGCUCGUAGGCGGUCUGUCGCGUCGGUCGUGAAAACCUGCAGCUUAACUGUGGGCGUGCGGUCGAUACGGGCAUGACUGGAGUUCGGCAGGGGAGACUGGAAUUCCUGGUGUAGCGGUGAAAUGCGCAGAUAUCAGGAGGAACACCGGUGGCGAAGGCGGGUCUCUGGGCCGAUACUGACGCUGAGGAGCGAAAGCGUGGGGAGCAAACAGG